AAAGCUAUCCCAUUGUCAUGGUUGAACCUCCAGAAUCUGGAAACUUUGCUGAUCAGUGAGGAAUUUUCCACCAUUGUUUUACUGCCAAGAUUAUUCAAACUGUCAAAGCUGAAACAUGUGAGCAUUGACCAGAGUUCUUUCUUUGAUAAAGAGGAAGUGGAAGUGGAAGUGGAAGAGGAAGAGGAAGUGGAAGUGGAAGUGGAAGAGG
This 208-nucleotide unclassified non-coding RNA is filed under the name Hevea brasiliensis (rubber tree). The record is from RNAcentral. Lineage: Eukaryota; Viridiplantae; Streptophyta; Magnoliopsida; Malpighiales; Euphorbiaceae.